Long non-coding RNA from Bos indicus x Bos taurus (hybrid cattle), 1918 nucleotides. Lineage: Eukaryota; Metazoa; Chordata; Mammalia; Artiodactyla; Bovidae. The record is from Ensembl.
GUUUCUUGAAUUUUGAGAUUUAACUUUAUAUUCUCAAAGUGCCUACCAAAAUUCUGGGAUCAAUCAGUAUGUUCCCCUAAAUUCAUGCUGUUAAAUGAUUACUUUCCCUUCUUCUCAAAAGGAAACAAGAAUGGGUUCUAAUUCAUUAUUCUAUUUGCCAUUUUCAGGAUUUAAAGAAUUGUCAUUAACAGCCUUUUAUGUGAAACUCAUAAUUUAUUUGGCUCUUUAGGUACCAAGCUGAGCUUAAUCAAGUGUGCUAAUUUUUUCAACAGUAAAAGUUUCUGAUGAUGUCAUGUAAUAAAGUUCUCAGAGAAGCUGAUUCAGACUUUCCACCAAAGAGUUGUGUUGGGCAUAGACAACGUAAACAUCAGCCACAUUUUAGCACAACCUUCAUCAUUCUCCUGUGGUUUGACUUUUCUGAUGCUGUCUAAACUUAAACACAAAAGGAAACCCCACCUUAUAUGGAUGACUUAGAAUGGAAAAGAAGCUCCACAGCUUUCCUGUUUGGCUGAGCUACGAGCAAGAGGAGCAAGAAGACUGGUGUGAGUUGUCAUUUCCUUCUCCAGGAGAUUUUCCUGACCCAGGAAUGGAAUCCGCACUCCUGCAUUGGCAGGCAGAUUCUUUACCACUGAGCCACCUGGGAAGCUCUCUACAUGGAGGCAGGUUACCUGAGUUCACUGUCCCUGGAAAUGGACCAAACAGAUGGGCAAGCAAUGUGGUGAGUUUAAAGACACAUCUAUUCUCUGGGAAGGGGACAGGAGAGAGGAAGACAGGUAUAUUAGCUAUCCACUGCAGCAUAACAAAUUAUACCAACAUUUAGCAGCUGAAAACAGUCAUUUAUUAUCUCACUCCAUCCCUGAGACUCGGGAAUCGAGAAGGGUAUGGCUGAGUGGUUCUGGCUCAGAGUCUCUGAUGGAGUUGCAGUCAAGGCAGUCAACUGAGGCCACCAUCAUUUGAAGCCGGAACUGACACCACUUCUAAAAUGGCUUACUUAUACAGCAAUUGACUGGAGGCCUCAGGUCCUCACCCUUGAAACUCUCCUCAAACCAUGAAACUGGCUUCUCCCAGAGUGACUUGAGAGAGAGACGAAGACAGAAGCUGCAGGGUUUUGUUAUGACCUAGCCUUGGAAGUGAAGCAGUAUCACCUCCACUGCAAGUCACCAGAAAGUCACUACGUCCAUCCCACACUCAAAGUAAGGGAAAUUAAAUGCCACCUCUUGAAAGAUACAAUAUCAAAAAUGUAUGGGCAUGUUUUAAAAUAUAUACUGCUGCUGCCGCUAAGUCGCUUCAGUCGUGUCCGACUCUGUGCAACCCCAGAGAUGGCAGCCCACCAGGCUCCCCUAUCCCUGGGAUUGUCCAGGCAAGAACACUGGAGUGGGUUGCCAUUUCUUUCUCCAAUGCAUGAAAGUGAAAAUGAAAGUGAAGUUGCUCAGUCGUGUCCAACUCCCAGCGACCCCAUGGACUGCAGCCUACCAGGUUCCUCCGUCCAUGGGAUUCUCCAGGCAAGAGUACUGGAGUGGGGUGCCAUUGCCUUCUCCAAAAUAUAUACUAGUUAGUAUAAAAUAGAUAAACAACAAGGUACUACUGUAUAGCACAGGGAAUUAUAUCAGUGUCCUGUGGUAAGUGUGUGUGAGUUGCUCAGUCGUGUCUGACUCUUUGUGACCCCAUGGACUGUAGCCUGCCAUGUCUGCGGAAUUCUCCAGGCAAGUAUACUGGAGUGAGUUGCCAUUUCCGACUCCAAGGGAUCUUCCUGAACCAGUUAUCAAACCUGGGUGUCCUGCAUAUCCUGUGAUAAACCAUAUUGGAAAAGAAUAUGAAAAAGAAAGUAUAUAACUGAAUCACUUUGCUGUAUAGCAGAAAUUAAUGCAGCACUGUAAAUCAACUGUACUUCAGUAAAAUAAAUUUAAAAAAUUAAACA